CAUGUGGUUAAUGAUGCGUAAUCUUUUUUCCCCAUCUUAUCGACAGUGGUGAAAACCAUCUGAAAAUAAGCCAACAAAGUCUGAAACCACAUC
This 93-nucleotide small nucleolar RNA is filed under the name Monopterus albus (swamp eel). Its description in RNAcentral is "Small nucleolar SNORD12/SNORD106 (ENSMALG00000001482.1)". It matches the Rfam family "Small nucleolar SNORD12/SNORD106". From Rfam's summary of the family: This family belong to the C/D class of snoRNA which contain the C (UGAUGA) and D (CUGA) box motifs. This family includes the human ortholog of mouse snoRNA HBII-99 and human snoRNA U106. The record is from RNAcentral. Lineage: Eukaryota; Metazoa; Chordata; Actinopteri; Synbranchiformes; Synbranchidae.